AGAGUGAACGCUGGCGGUAGGCCUAACACAUGCAAGUCGAACGGCAGCACAGUGGCAGCAAUACCAUGGGUGGCGAGUGGCGGACGGGUGAGGAAUACAUCGGAAUCUACCUUUUCGUGGGGGAUAACGUAGGGAAACUUACGCUAAUACCGCAUACGCCCUUCGGGGGAAAGCCGGGGAUCGCAAGACCUGGCGCGGAUAGAUGAGCCGAUGUCGGAUUAGCUAGUUGGUGAGGUAAUGGCUCACCAAGGCGACGAUCCGUAGCUGGUCUGAGAGGAUGAUCAGCCACACUGGAACUGAGACACGGUCCAGACUCCUACGGGAGCAGCAGUGGGAAUAUUGACAAU
This 347-nucleotide ribosomal RNA is filed under the name uncultured soil bacterium. Its description in RNAcentral is "bacterial SSU rRNA". It matches the Rfam family "Bacterial small subunit ribosomal RNA", at positions 26 to 372 of the family's 1533-position model. The record is from RNAcentral.